UACGGAGGGGGCUAGCGUUAAUCGGAAUUACUGGGCGUAAGGGGUGCGUAGGUGGUUGACUAAGUUAUCUGCGAAAUCCCUGGGCUUAACCUGGGCAGGUCAGAUGAUACUGGUUGACUCGAGUAUGGGAGAGGGUAGUGGAAUUUCCGGUGUAGCGGUGAAAUGCGUAGAGAUCGGAAGGAACACCAGUGGCGAAGGCGGCUACCUGGCCCAAUACUGACACUGAGGCACGAAAGCGUGGGGAGCAAACAGG
RNAcentral lists this ribosomal RNA (253 nucleotides) under uncultured bacterium. RNAcentral's name for it is "partial 16S ribosomal RNA". It matches the Rfam family "Bacterial small subunit ribosomal RNA", at positions 524 to 776 of the family's 1533-position model. The record is from RNAcentral.